This is a non-coding RNA of Schistosoma curassoni, 46 nucleotides long. The record is from Rfam. NCBI's taxonomy places the organism in Eukaryota, Metazoa, Platyhelminthes, Trematoda, Strigeidida, Schistosomatidae.
ACACUGCUGAGGAGUCUCACGAUAGAACGAAACGGACGUUCAGUGU